UAAGAUUCAAAACCGAUCACUAGAUGUCGCCAGUGUCGCUCUUGUUGUUCUCACAUCGUGAAACCCGGCAAAAUGGCCGAAACAAAUUGUAGCUAAUUUAUACUUAUAUUCCUGUGAUUUCGAAAACCAAACUGAACUUCGUAACUUAUGCAGAUGCAUACUGUCAGUCAUCCCAACAAGCGCUCAGUCGCUUUCCAUCAUAUAGACUCAUCAUAACAGCCUAAAAAUAAUGUUUGAAGCCCACAUACAGUGGAAUACAAAUCUGCUGAGAUCAGGUAAUUCCCCAUUACUGCUACCAGACCAUUACAAUUUAGAUUUCUCAUGUAACAUAGGUAUCAUCAACCAUAGGAUCUUUUCUGAAUCUCGCAAUUUUGGUGGUGUAACCUGCAACAGCAUGUUUUUGUUAUGGCUGAUUCUACUUCUGUUUAGAAGGCAACCCAGCUGAGAGAUAGAGUUUCCGUGACAUGAAGAGUGUGACAUGAAUAAUGCCAUGUGUAUGCAUACAUGUUCCAGAUCUGCUUGAUGCCUUACUAAAUUCAUCACCUGUUUGAUAAAGGAAAUCUCGACAUGAGGGGUUAUGCUGUUGGUUGCUGUGAUUUCCAUUUUUAUGGUUUUUUAUCAUGAAAAUUACAGUGUGCUUCUUUGUAAAGGAAAAGGACUAAAGAACAUGUAAGAGGGACUUCCACCAACGUUCUGCUCCAUCCUUACCUUCCCGACGUACGCUCAUCUAGCUUCACCUCUUUUUGCUGCUACACAACUUGUCUUACUUCACUUCACCGACGAGUUGGAACACUUCAGCGAUCGCUUCCGUCCGCUGUUACACACCUGCAGUUACUCACCACGGGAUUAUGCCAAGGUAAUGCAGAAGAGACGUCGAGAAGAUGGACACCAAAACAUCGCCGG
Molecule: long non-coding RNA, 903 nt
Organism: Daphnia pulicaria
Lineage: Eukaryota; Metazoa; Arthropoda; Branchiopoda; Diplostraca; Daphniidae
Exons: 6
Source: RefSeq, a predicted model, not a curated record